RNAcentral lists this long non-coding RNA (536 nucleotides) under Neogale vison (American mink). RNAcentral's name for it is "Neovison vison (American mink) lncRNA (ENSNVIG00000011517.1)". Lineage: Eukaryota; Metazoa; Chordata; Mammalia; Carnivora; Mustelidae. The record is from RNAcentral.
UUAAGCUGUGCUCUGAUGUGAAAGCCUUCGGCCGACUCCAGCAUAUGCAGGAAAGCCGGCCGGAGCUCCGGACUGUGUAAAACAAUGUUUGAUCCGAUCCAGUUGAAAAAGAUAUUUUAGUAAAUACCUGAACUCACUCAUUUCUGCAAAGAUUGGCUUCGGCUGGGAGGAAGGACCUUGGCAGAGGCUGCUUCUUCAAGAGGUUUUGCAAAGCUUGAAAGAGGAUCCAGCUUCCAGCCCAGAACCUGGUCAAAGGCGAGCUGCCUUCCCUCCGUGGAGAUGACCAGACGUUGAUGACAAAACGCUUCCGGACAGGAAGAUGGCUUCACCUGGAGUGUGGCGUUAAGACAGAACAGUCUAGAAGUCAGUCUGCCAUCCCUUGGGGAGUCUGCUUGUUAAGGCUGGUGUGCUUUGCCCACAAAAAUUUGAGACACUGUCAUCUGAUCGGGGAACCUGCCUGGCACAAAGGCCCAUCAGACGGCCUGGAAGGGCUCAGAGCCGGGAGGACCUGCUGCCUGCGGUGCCCGGGGCUGUGA